CAGGAACAGGCGGCCCUCUCCCUCCCUCCCUCCACUCUCCUCUCUCUCCGGCUUCUAUAAAAGCAGCCCUUCGUCUCCAGCCCUUCAACCCAUGAACAGCAAAGGGCGAAUAGUCUAGUCCAGUUCCCUCCCCCAGAUUCCCCUUUUCAUAGCUCUCCUUCUCGUCGUUUUUCUAUUCCAGUUCUGCUGGCUUUUUUUUUUCUAUAUUUCUAUUUCUGCUAUUGUUAUUUGCUUCCCUAUCUAUUCUAUCCAUUAGUUUAUGGACUUCUGCGGAUAGAUCUCAUGGUUUGUUUUGCUUCUUUCUUGCGUUUCUUGGGCCAUAUAUCUGCCUGAUGCUUGGAUUCGAAGCGGAGCUCCUAUCAUUCCAAUGAAGGGCCCUUUUCAUGGGUGGUUCCGCUGCUCGUUCAUGGUUCCCACUAUCCUAUCUCAUCAUGUAUGUGUGUAUGUACUCUAGAGGGCCCGAGAAGAGAUUCAUGUGGUCGUCAGUCUUUGAGAUAGGCUUGUGGUUUGCAUGACCGAGGAGCUGCACCGUCCCCUUGCUGGCCGCUCUUUGGAUUGAAGGGAGCUCUGCAUCCUGAUCCAUCCAUUCCAUCCCCCCAUGCUUGCUUUGUUUAUUGGCUGUUCCUGAGUGAGAUCUGAGGCUCAUGGCUGUAUGUAGCCAUGGAUUUUUUUCCCUUUCUCCUAGCUGCUGCUGCUGUUUCUCCAAGAUUCAAUAGGCACGGUCUGCCGUGCUUAUCCGUGCUGGAGCUGGAUGAAGCAGGCUGCUUUGCUGCUGCCCUCAUCCUCAUGCCCUGGAUGGUGUGGUAUCGGUACCCCGUACUUGCGUCGCUUUAUUCCUAUCUUUGCUGGUGAGGUGUUAUGUCAGUACAGUAGUUUAUGUCACCCUCGUUUAUCUUGUUCUAUAUGCUUCGGUUUCCUAUUCUUACCCUGCGUCGGGCGCGUGCGUGCAUUAUAUUUCCGGUGGUGCUCUUGGAUCUUACUCUGGACGCACGCAGCUAGCCGCACGGCCAGCAGCUUCACCUCUCCAUGGCCACAUCGUCAACUCCUCCAUUGCAGAUUCGCAUCUCGCUUCCUCGGCGCUCAGCUCAUCCGCGCUCCGGCCGGUGACGGUGAGCUCGCUCGUCGGCGGCGCCAGUGACUGAUGCAAGUUUGGGGAUGCAAGGACGUCGUCGUUCUAGCAGUUGCACUUACAGCCAUGGUUGCGCCAAGCUUGUUUGGACUUUGGAUCUGGUGUGAUGCCGGAUAUCUGUAAGAAAUGCUUUGUGGUGUAAUGAGAACUGAGAUUCUCUGAAUGAAAUAUGUGAGCCUGAUGUACCACUUGGGAUACUUGUAUCGUGAGUUGAUGAGCAUAUUGUAUUCGUCCGCUUUUUGUAUAAACUUUCAAUGCCUACGUGCAACGUAUGCGCAAUGCCGAUUUCAAUUCAGCUUUAUC
This is a long non-coding RNA of Sorghum bicolor (sorghum), 1432 nucleotides long. RefSeq lists it as uncharacterized. The transcript has 2 exons. Lineage: Eukaryota; Viridiplantae; Streptophyta; Magnoliopsida; Poales; Poaceae. The record is from RefSeq and is a predicted model, not a curated record.